GCGAACGGGUGAGUAACACGUGGGCAAUCUGCCCUUCACUCUGGGACAAGCCCUGGAAACGGGGUCUAAUACCGGAUAACACUCCUGUCCUCCUGGGCGGGGGUUAAAAGCUCCGGCGGUGAAGGAUGAGCCCGCGGCCUAUCAGCUUGUUGGUGAGGUAAUGGCUCACCAAGGCGACGACGGGUAGCCGGCCUGAGAGGGCGACCGGCCACACUGGGACUGAGACACGGCCCAGACUCCUACGGGAGGCAGCAGUGGGGAAUAUUGCACAAUGGGCGAAAGCCUGAUGCAGCGACGCCGCGUGAGGGAUGACGGCCUUCGGGUUGUAAACCUCUUUCAGCAGGGAAGAAGCGAAAGUGACGGUACCUGCAGAAGAAGCGCCGGCUAACUACGUGCCAGCAGCCGCGGUAAUACGUAGGGCGCAAGCGUUGUCCGGAAUUAUUGGGCGUAAAGAGCUCGUAGGCGGCUUGUCACGUCGGGUGUGAAAGCCCGGGGCUUAACCCCGGGUCUGCAUUCGAUACGGGCUAGCUAGAGUGUGGUAGGGGAGAUCGGAAUUCCUGGUGUAGCGGUGAAAUGCGCAGAUAUCAGGAGGAACACCGGUGGCGAAGGCGGAUCUCUGGGCCAUUACUGACGCUGAGGAGCGAAAGCGUGGGGAGCGAACAGGAUUAGAUACCCUGGUAGUCCA
RNAcentral lists this ribosomal RNA (685 nucleotides) under Streptomyces sp. PanFS8. RNAcentral describes it as "bacterial SSU rRNA". It matches the Rfam family "Bacterial small subunit ribosomal RNA", at positions 98 to 797 of the family's 1533-position model. The record is from RNAcentral. Lineage: Bacteria; Bacillati; Actinomycetota; Actinomycetes; Kitasatosporales; Streptomycetaceae.